Molecule: ribosomal RNA, 411 nt
Filed under: uncultured soil bacterium
Lineage: Bacteria
Description: bacterial SSU rRNA
Rfam family: Bacterial small subunit ribosomal RNA (bases 1-241)
Source: RNAcentral
GUGAUACAGGAUGCGUACUGAGGGUGGAAGAGGGGGAAGGGAUAGGUGCUGUCGCUGUAAGAUGAGCCUGCGUAGGAUUAGCUAGUUGGUAGGGUAAAGGCCUACGAAGGCGACGAUCGGUAGCUGGUCUGAGAGGAGAUCAGCCACACUGGGACUGAGACACGGUCCAGACUCCUACGGGAGGCAGCAGUGGGGAAUGAUUGGACGAUGGGGGCAAGCCCUGAUGCCAAGCGCAUGCCGCGUUGGUAGUGCAUAGACAGCGUCGCUGAUGGCGUGUGCUGAGACGUCUACAUGUUUAGUGCUUGAGUGGGAAGGGUAGUAGUAGAUACGUCCGGCGUUAUAUGAAUGAACGGCAGUGCAUGCGAUUCGUAUUGAACGGUUACCCCUGAUGCUAGUAAGUAAGGGCAAUCC